RNAcentral lists this long non-coding RNA (1461 nucleotides) under Malus domestica (apple). RNAcentral's name for it is "long non-coding RNA (MDOM_LNC005863)". The record is from RNAcentral. Lineage: Eukaryota; Viridiplantae; Streptophyta; Magnoliopsida; Rosales; Rosaceae.
CUCUUCUUCUUGCAGUGGGUUUCUAUUUUUUUUUUCUUUUUCUUUCUUCCUCCAUCCUCUUCUUCUUCUUGCAGAUGUGGGUUUCAAAUUUGUUUUUUUUUUGUUGAGAAAAUUCAGGUUUUUUAAAAAAAAUUAAAAAUUAUUUUAUUUACCAAGUGACAAACAUUUGGCAGCCACGUGGCAUAUAUGUGGCAGCCACGUCAACAUUUAACAGAUCAAUGGAUGGAAAAUGUAACGGAUGUAUUAUUUUGAAAUAAAAUAGUACUUAAGGUAUGAAAGUGAAAUGUUUUAAAGAUGUUGUAAGGAAUUGAAAUAGACCACAAACCUGAGGUAUGAAAAUGUAAUUUACUCUAUUUUUUACCAUAUUAAAACUACGCUCUCUUCAUUUUUUUUAAUUAGCCUUAUGUUUUAACAUAUAAAAAUCAAACCCUCUUUUUUAGCGAGUUGGUAUUAAACAAGGGCUUAUGCAGUCUAGAGUAGGAUCUUAUUUUAAGGAACGAAAUUUAAAUUUUUGUUCGAAUUUAAUUGUUAAUCAAAAUUUUUUUUAUCAAAACUCAUAAACAAGUUUUGAUUUAUAAUAUAAUCAUUUCAAUACUAGGUUUUUCUUAUAAAAUUUAAAACUCCACCAUUUUUGUUUCCUUAAAAUUUUUCAUGCCAAUGCAAAAGAAUAAAACUUCUAAUUUUUCUCCUGUUAAUUAUAUUGCAAUAUUUCAUAUAGCUUAAAGGCUCGUUCUAAUUUAGUUUUCUACCUCAGCCACUGCAUUUGACGUUGCCGUCCAAUAAUCGGCUCAGCCAAGGUUUUUUUUGUUUAAAGUUCCAACAAACAAAUCGGACGGUUGGCAACUCAUCACUUGGCCCACUAUGUGCCAUGUAGAUUCUAGAAAAAGUUGGUGCUUGUGGUGGGCUUUAGUUGUUCUUGAAUUCUUUUUGUCCCAACAACAAUAAAAAUAGGGUAAAUUACAUUUUGUCUCUUAGGUUUGAGAUCGAUUUCAAUUCUUUACAACAUCUUUAAAACAUUUCAAUUUCAUACCUCAAGUACUAUAUUAUUUCAAUAUAAUACAUUCGUUACAUUUUCCUCAAUUGACCCGUUAAGAGCUUACGUUGUUGCCAAAUUUGUGCCACGUGGCAAAAAAUAAUUUUUUAUACAUUAAAAAUAUUAUAAUAAUUGAUCCUAUUAAAAAAAAAAAAAUGAAACCCAUAAUCUCAAUCUCCACCGUCUUCCACUCUCUCUCUUGAACCCCAAACCCCCCAAAAUCCCCAGAUCCAAAACCCAAUGCAGCUCCACCGAGCCACCACCGUCAGCGCCUUCCUCCUCACGCUCACACUCCUCACCACCCUCACCAAAGUGCACAUCAUCACAUGCCGACCCUCCCGUCAUCAGAUCUCUUAAGCUCAUCUAGAUCGACCUGAACUCCUAUGACACCGGUUCCAUCGAAAAAAAACUACAUUUUCGUCAACUAC